AUAGUUUCCUGGUGUGGGAGAUACUACAAUCCCCAGAGAAGAUGGUUCUCCCAAGGCAAUGAUUAUCCAUUUCACUCUGGAUGUGCUCACCCAGGGUUUUCCCCAGAUGCAGGAAAGAUGGCUGCAUAAUUUGUGAUAAUCGGGGGCUGUGUUCACACUCUCCCCUG
Molecule: small nuclear RNA, 167 nt
Organism: Apodemus sylvaticus (European woodmouse)
Lineage: Eukaryota; Metazoa; Chordata; Mammalia; Rodentia; Muridae
Product: U1 spliceosomal RNA
Exons: 1
Source: RefSeq, a predicted model, not a curated record